UACGAAGGGGGCUAGCGUUGCUCGGAAUUACUGGGCGUAAAGGGCGCGUAGGCGGAUCGUUAAGUCAGAGGUGAAAUCCCAGGGCUCAACCCUGGAACUGCCCUUGAUACUGGCGAUCUUGAGUGUGAGAGAGGUAUGUGGAACUCCGAGUGUAGAGGUGAAAUUCGUAGAUAUUCGGAAGAACACCAGUGGCGAAGGCG
RNAcentral lists this ribosomal RNA (200 nucleotides) under uncultured bacterium. RNAcentral's name for it is "partial 16S ribosomal RNA". It matches the Rfam family "Bacterial small subunit ribosomal RNA", at positions 524 to 723 of the family's 1533-position model. The record is from RNAcentral.